CACUACAUAUUACACUAUUGGUAUUUAUAAAUUACAUUACCAAACACAAAAUUACAAGAAAUGAGUUACAAAAUCAACAACACAGUCUUCCUAUCAGUGAUUUAAUCUCACACCAAAUAAUAGUCCAUUGUCAAUUCCUGCAGCC
Long non-coding RNA from Juglans microcarpa x Juglans regia, 145 nucleotides. RefSeq lists it as uncharacterized. The transcript is spliced from 3 exons. The record is from RefSeq and is a predicted model, not a curated record. Lineage: Eukaryota; Viridiplantae; Streptophyta; Magnoliopsida; Fagales; Juglandaceae.